CCGAAACCCGGUGAUCUAGGCAUGACCAGGUUGAAGGUGCGGUAACACGCACUGGAGGUCCGAACCGAUUAACGUUGAAAAGUUACCGGAUGAGUUGUGUUUAGGGGUGAAAGGCCAAUCAAGCCGGGAAAUAGCUGGUUCUCCGCGAAAUCUAUUUAGGUAGAGCGUCGACCGAAUACCCUCGGGGGUAGAGCACUGGAUGGGCU
This 206-nucleotide ribosomal RNA is filed under the name Conticribra weissflogii. RNAcentral's name for it is "partial Bacterial large subunit ribosomal RNA". It matches the Rfam family "Bacterial large subunit ribosomal RNA", at positions 715 to 920 of the family's 2925-position model. The record is from RNAcentral. Lineage: Eukaryota; Bacillariophyta; Thalassiosirophyceae; Thalassiosirales; Thalassiosiraceae.